Molecule: long non-coding RNA, 987 nt
Filed under: Dromaius novaehollandiae (emu)
Lineage: Eukaryota; Metazoa; Chordata; Aves; Casuariiformes; Dromaiidae
Description: lncRNA (ENSDNVG00000003005.1)
Source: RNAcentral
CAAGAUGAAAAGAGUUAGACUGCUUUUCACACGGUCAUGGGUGUUGUUCGAAUUGGGCUGUUACAAGUAUUUCCCUGUAAAAUGAAAAUGAUGUGUUGCAUUUGUUUUCUCUUUUGUCCCAGAUUUGAUCAGGCGUGCUGGUGUUCUUUGCAAAUGUGUCGUGAGUCACAAGGAACCCUGGGCUGACAGAGCACGGAAAAGAGUUCUUUAGAAAUUACCGAAUCUGUUUUGGAAAAGGAAGUGUCUCUGAAUCUUUGCCCCAGAAAGAAAAAACACUUCUGCAAAGCUGCAUCACUGCAGAACGUAACAUGGAACAGAUCAGCGUACAGAGGCAGCAUACCUGUAAAAGUGAUAUCUUGGUUGCAAUGCUCUUUGUCACUCAAGGUCUUUUCAUUGUCUAAAGUCUGCCAAGAUGGUGGGGCUGAGAGAAGAACUGAAGAUGUAUUUGAUCAGAAAAAUUCUGAACAUUUCAGAGCUUACAAAGCAAAUGCAAUGAUUUUCUUGGCUCCAUCCUCCAAACUGUUUCCCAUGGGAAAACUUCAGCACCCUCAACUAACUGCAGGAGCAGUAAGUGUAUGUACAUGCACAAAACCUUUACCUGUGAGCAACUUAGCAGAAUGCACUCUUCACCUGAAUGCAGGGCUCAGUACAGCUUUGCAAAGCAGAGCAGUGCAGAACAGGGGGAGAGGACAUGAAACAUUUUUAUUUGUGCACAUCUAACUGAGACUUUUAUUUAUUUUUGUAUGUAUGCCAGGAACAGGAGAAGGAAGCCUGUUCUUACAUGCUAUGUACAGUUUUCUUCUGCAAUAUUACUUCUAUAUGCAGCUGCUAUACAAGAAAAUUUGCCAAAGAACAGCGUUAAAGCUUUUCCAAAUCUUCUUUUCAAAUGUAUGUAAAAUCUACAUUGCUAUACACAUCGGUUUAUAAUACCACUGUGUACACUGGUGACUGAAUAAAAUACUGUUUUCUUGGUGGUGAUAGUGUAUA